GAGUUUGAUCUUGGCUCAGAUUGAACGCUGGCGGCAUGCCUUACACAUGCAAGUCGAACGGCAGCACGGGAGCUUGCUCCUGGUGGCGAGUGGCGAACGGGUGAGUAAUGCAUCGGAACGUAUCCUGGAGUGGGGGAUAACGUAGCGAAAGUUACGCUAAUACCGCAUAUUCUGUGAGCAGGAAAGCGGGGGACCUUCGGGCCUCGCGCUCUUGGAGCGGCCGAUGUCGGAUUAGCUAGUUGGUGAGGUAAAGGCUCACCAAGGCGACGAUCCGUAGCAGGUCUGAGAGGAUGAUCCGCCACACUGGAACUGAGACACGGUCCAGACUCCUACGGGAGGCAGCAGUGGGGAAUUUUGGACAAUGGGGGCAACCCUGAUCCAGCCAUGCCGCGUGAGUGAAGAAGGCCUCGG
RNAcentral lists this ribosomal RNA (411 nucleotides) under bacterium enrichment culture clone ALO1_GLFRUDD03GWR21. RNAcentral describes it as "bacterial SSU rRNA". It matches the Rfam family "Bacterial small subunit ribosomal RNA", at positions 9 to 420 of the family's 1533-position model. The record is from RNAcentral.